GAAGCCAGAGGUCAAGCAAGCACAAGCAAACCUCAAAGAACAAGACACAUGCCUACAAGGUUACAAGAAAUUAUGAUUACAUUAGAUGAUAUGGUCGACGAUGAAGAUGAUAUGGUGCACUAUGCUUUCUAUGAAGAUGUCGAACCAGUCAAUACAUAUAAGGAAUUAAAGGAUUCUGAGUGGGUGAAAGCAAUGAAUGAGGAACUGAA
This 209-nucleotide long non-coding RNA is filed under the name Lathyrus oleraceus (garden pea). Its description in RNAcentral is "Pisum sativum (pea) long non-coding RNA (PSAT_LNC028884)". Lineage: Eukaryota; Viridiplantae; Streptophyta; Magnoliopsida; Fabales; Fabaceae. The record is from RNAcentral.